AUGAUUUCUAGUAGGUGAGCGUGCGGAAGGAUCAAUUACACGAUUGUAACUUCAAAACCCUGCAACUUCAUGUGGUGCCUUCAUUGCGCACUCUUCAGUGUAUAACCUUUUUUUCAAUCACGACUCAGAUCAUUUCAAAAGUUUCUUACAACUUUGGGCGAUGGAUGUCUCGGCUCGAACAACGAUGAAGGACGCCGCUAAAUGCGAUAAGCGUUGUGAAUGGCAGAAUUCCGCGAAUCAAAAGAAAGCUGAACGCAUACUGCGCUCUUAGGAUCUCCCUAAGAGCAUGCUUGGUUCAGAGCGUUUACACAAUUAUGCUACGAGAAAAAAUUCGCAUCAAGCGGGUGUCUUCACGUAGUGUUUUCGUGUGUCAGUGACGCGUUCGCUUUGCGAGAUAUCUCCAGCGAGCUACCCAUUGACGCAUCAGAUCUAAUGACAAGUGCAGCCGAUGCUUUGGUCUUUGUCCGGCGUAUCUUCGGAUCCUCUGACAUUGUUGCAUGUGCAUCUUGCGCGUUAAGUUGUCAUCUCAGAGCAUUUUUACUCUUUGCGCAUGAACUCAAGUAGGGCUACCCGCUGAAUUUAAGCAUAUCAAUAA
This 595-nucleotide ribosomal RNA is filed under the name uncultured eukaryote. RNAcentral describes it as "eukaryotic LSU rRNA". The stretch from base 150 to 304 matches the Rfam family "5.8S ribosomal RNA". The record is from RNAcentral.